Non-coding RNA from Salvia hispanica, 1227 nucleotides. The record is from RefSeq and is a predicted model, not a curated record. NCBI's taxonomy places the organism in Eukaryota, Viridiplantae, Streptophyta, Magnoliopsida, Lamiales, Lamiaceae.
UGGAAGUUGUAGUUAUCCCACAUCGGAUAAGCAUACCGCUUUCUGUGUCUUUAUUAAUCACUACGCAGCUGCUACGUUCGUCCCUUCGGGGACAUCCGAUAAAAUUGGAACGAUACAGAGAAGAUUAGCAUGGCCCCUGCGCAAGGAUGACACGCAUAAAUCGAGAAAUGUUGAUUCGAUGUCGUUGCUGGAGUCCUUGGGUAAAUUGCGGAGAUUUAGGUCAAUUCGAUAUACAAACCAUUCAGGGCUUUGGGCAUUCUAGAUAUGCUGUUUUAACCCCAAGUCUCAAAGGUUUUGAGGCUGCUAUGGCAGUUGGGGAAAAGGAAGUGGCAGUGUUUGCUGCUGUGUCUGAGUCAUUUUCCAGAUCAAAUUUAAAUUGCAGCAUUGAAGAUAGUCCUGCUCUGUACUGUGAUGUUGCCCUUGCUGCUAAAACCACAAAGUUCCUGUUCGUGGAUAUAUAUCAUGUGUUGUUGGUUGUCCUAUGGAAGGAGUUGUACCUCCAUCAAAAGUAGCAUCUGUUGCUGAAGAACUUAUAAAAAUAUGGGUUGUGCUGAAAUAUCCCUUGGUUAGACGAUUAGGUGCUAGCACUCCCGAUGGGCUUUUGCACAGCGGAUGCCCAUAUGCCAAAGGUGCUACUGAAAAUGUUGUCACUGAAGAUGUCGUUUAUAUGCUCAUCGGUCUUGGAGUGAAAGUACAUGUGGAUCUCGGAAAACUCAUUAUGGCUAGAGAUUGUAUUUCUAAACAUGUGGGUCGACCAUCGAGUUCUAAAGCUUUGAUUUCCUUGCGCAUAACCUUGACUAAUGCUUCUAAGCUUUAAAGCUUCCCUGCUGCAGUGCACGGCCAAAAAGGUUUGGCACUGAUAGGACCCUUGCAGAGCAUUGAUUGUCCCCGUUUACAUCGAUCCGAGCAUCAGCAGCUCGCUGUCAGCUAAGUUUGAUCAUAUCUCUCAUCAGUUUCAGCUCCAUGUGUCCUGAGGUGUACUUGGGAGUUGCUCCUCUUAAUCCGACCGCACUCUCUGGGUCGUAAAAAAAAAAAAAACUAGGGUGUAUGAUAAUGUGUUUGGAUUUUUAUAAAUUUGUUUACAUGUGGGCAAGGGCCCUGGUUGUGCAGGAGUCAUUUAAGUAGUGUGGUGUCGUUUCUGAGUCAGUUCUUGUUAUAUAUGGCCUUCACUGUUAUGUGACAAACAAGCAUUUAUGAAGCAUUUUAUGCAGUGGUCCUUUUCCUGUA